RNAcentral lists this transfer RNA (84 nucleotides) under Candidatus Nitrosopumilus sp. RNAcentral describes it as "Nitrosopumilus sp. tRNA-OTHER". It matches the Rfam family "tRNA". Rfam says of the family: Transfer RNA (tRNA) molecules are approximately 80 nucleotides in length. Their secondary structure includes four short double-helical elements and three loops (D, anti-codon, and T loops). Further hydrogen bonds mediate the characteristic L-shaped molecular structure. tRNAs have two regions of fundamental functional importance: the anti-codon, which is responsible for specific mRNA codon recognition, and the 3' end, to which the tRNAs corresponding amino acid is attached (by aminoacyl-tRNA synthetases). tRNAs cope with the degeneracy of the genetic code in two manners: having more than one tRNA (with a specific anti-codon) for a particular amino acid; and 'wobble' base-pairing, i.e. permitting non-standard base-pairing at the 3rd anti-codon position. Lineage: Archaea; Thermoproteati; Nitrososphaerota; Nitrososphaeria; Nitrosopumilales; Nitrosopumilaceae. The record is from RNAcentral.
GGCGUGGUUUGGCAGUUCAUCGCCAGCAGCUUCAGAAGCUGGUGGGGUUGGAUCCCCUCGCGGGUUCAAUUCCCGUCCACGCCG